Brassica napus (rape) is the source of this 7603-nucleotide long non-coding RNA. RefSeq lists it as uncharacterized. The transcript has 3 exons. Lineage: Eukaryota; Viridiplantae; Streptophyta; Magnoliopsida; Brassicales; Brassicaceae. The record is from RefSeq and is a predicted model, not a curated record.
CGCAAGACGCAGAUCUUAACCUAAGUAUCUAUCUCUUUAAUAAUUUUAAAUCUUAGACAUUUUCUAUAUCUCAGGCCAAAACAAAAGAACGAUAUGAGAAUAAACUCAAAAAUCAAUAUUUAUAUCAAGCAAUAACCAAAAUGAAAAAAAAAACAAUACAAAAAAGAGAAAAAAAUUGAAGAUAUAUAGGAUUGGCACGUGAACGUGAACUCCUCAUAAUCAUAAUUAACUUUUAAAUUGCUAAAUCAUGAUAUAAAUCCAAGUUAACAUAGUUUCAUUGUAAUCAAAUAGUAGGCCUGAGAUUCUUUGGCCUAAACGUUAGGUUAUUUGAAGUGAUUUUUUGACCUAAAAUAUUUUUAAAAAUGAGAACAGUUAAUCAAUAAACAAAUUAUAUAAUUAAUAAAAACAUGUUUUUUAAAAAAUGUUUAAGAGCCGAAAAUAUGAAUUCGAUCAAAAAUAUAAAUUUUAUUUUUCCAUACGAUAUUUCUUAAAUAAUUUUCAUAUAAAUUAUUACCCUAGUUUAGAAAGUAAAAUCAAAUACUUCACCGAAGUUAUAGUUUUCUUUUCUUUAACUUCUAUGUUACCGGAUACAGACGUUGAGAGUGACGGAGACAGAAAAACCAACUGGAGUGAACUCCGAAGAGGUCGACGUACGGUGUCAAGACAAAAAGCAAUUAAAGAACUGUCUACAUGUUAUUACCACCACUGUUCACAGUCCAUUAUCAUGGACACAAAACAUCUGUCUUUGUUUCUAGGAGUCUCCCUUUCUUCUUGGAUUUAUUUUGUCAACAGUCUCUCUCUCUCUCUUUGUGCCAAUUGCCAAACAAAGACAGAUGUUUCGGUCGAAUUAUUGUGUCCCAUUUCUGUAGUCGCCGUUCAAUAUGAAUAUAGUACAAGUACGAUGCUUUGUUCAAAUUUUACAAAAAAUUAUGAAUCAAUUAUUCAAAAAAAACAAUACAUCUUUAAUAUUAUUUGUUAAGUUAUAAUUAGGGCUUGACAAAUAAACCGAACCCGAUCCGAUAAAAAUGAAUCCGAACCGAUCCGAACCCCACAUAAAUACCGAAUGGAUCUUAUUUUAUGGUAUUUUGGAUUAUGGAUAUUAUCCAAACCAAACCCAAACCUAAAUAGAUACCCGAUAGAAUCCGGAACAUUCAAAAUAUCAAAAAGGAACUUGUACCAAACAUGAUCUCUCAAUUCCAAAUAUAUAUCCAAAAUAUAUUGAACAUCUAAGAUAAUUAUCUAUUACAUGAAGGUUGAUGGUUGAAGGUGGUGGUUGAAGCCUGAAGUUUUAAGAUUUUGGUUUUGUUUUCAUUGAACAAUAUUUUUCAUUUCAUGAGAACUUGGUUAUUGUUUUUUUUUAUUUAAUUAGUUUUUUUUCUAUCAAUAGCUAUGUUUACCUUUCGUUUGAUUUCGAAUUAUCACGUUUGAUAUUCCUUUCUUAUUUUUGAAUCGAUUUUACUUAUGUUUUGGUUACAAAAUAGGUACAAAGAAAGUAUUUUAAAACCGAAAGAACCGAUUUUACUUAUGUUUUGGUUACAAAAUAGAUACAAAUCAUGUACAUUUAAACCGAAAAAACGAUUGGGACCUGAACCCGAAAGUACAUCGGAUUGUACCAGUUCUUUGAAGAUUUACUAACCCUGACCCGAACCCAAUAGAACCCGAACCAGUCCCGAACCAAACUUUCAUAUAACCCAAUGGGACUGAUUUGGUAAACCCAAAAAACCGAAACCCGAUUGAACAACCGAAACCCGAUUGGGAUCCUGAUUGCCCAUGCCUAGUUAUAAUAUUUUAUGUGUCAUGUUCAUAUUAAGUUUCACAAUGGUCAAUUACAUAUACAUUUCUAGUGAAUUAAAGUUAUUAUUACUAGUUUUUCGUUAUUAAUAUCUCUAAUUUAAAUUUAAGUUUACUAUAUUUAUUUUAUAUUAUUUUUUAGAAAUGACAAAAAUAUCUUAAAUAUCUGUAAAACAAUUUAAGAUAAUUGAAUCACAAAUCAACAUUGUUUAAAGUAUCUCCAAUCCAAUUAUGUUUUGUCCUCUGCAUUUUUUUUCUAAAAUAAAAUAAUUCUAUUAUAGAGGUAAAUUUUCUCUAAUGGUAUACGUCGUUAAAUGUUCGUGGUUUGACACCACGGAAAAUCGCGGUAUGAGAAGACAUCCAUCUGAUCUUGCUGAUGUCUCACCAAGAAGACAAUAUGCAAAAUAUGAUCCUUUUGUAUUACCGGAUAAGUAAAUAUAUAUAUAUAUAUAUAUAUAUAUAGUUGUUUGAGAUUUGAUGUCUGAUGAAAAGCCAUGAUUUGAAACUAUGAUUUCAUUGUAUCAUGAACAGGUAAUUUUGAUCAAGCAUGUUUUAUUCCUUAUCCAUGGGUACGUCGACAUUCAGGCGAUGACUGGUGGGCAUGCACAAAAAUUAUUUCCCGAAGAAUCCGAAAAACGUCAGAAAUUGGUUUAAUUGCGUGGCAAGAUGAUAGACGUGGCCAAGUUGCUGAAAGUUCAUUGUUACGGGUGGAACACAUGUUGUUGAUGAUGUGUCUGAUUAUGAUAUUGCCCCGAUGAAUCCUCCAAAUGACGAAUAUGUAUCAGAUGUUGAUGUAGAAUCAGACGGUGAUUCAGAUGAUGAUUCAAAAUAGUCAAAUAUAUUCUAAGAUUGUAAAAUAUGUUUUAAGUUUGUAAAAUAUGUUGCAACAAUGAAAAAUAUGUACUAAGGUUGAAUAAUAUGUUGUAAGGAUAAAAAUUAAGUUGUAAGGUUGUAAAAUAUGUUGUAGGGAUGAAAAAUAAUUUGUAAGGUUGUAAAAUAUAUUGUAAGAUUUUGGAAUAUGUAUAAAGGUUGAGAAAUGUUGUUUUUGUACGAGGAGAAGGUUGAUGGGUAAGAGUUUAGGUGUUAUAGUUUAGGGGCUAGAAGUUUUGUGGACAUGAUUUAAACAUAGCCACGACUAUUGCGUGGCUAGAUAGUGGCUAUGACGAAACCAAUCGGGUUGGCUCCAAUUUAUUCAGUUUUGGCUCCAAUUUUUUUUAUUUUCACGGUUGAUAUUAAAACUUAGCCACUGUAAAUUCGUGGGAUGUUCGCGGCCAUGACGAAAUUUUGGAAAACCAUUCAGUUUGGCUCCAAUUUAGUUUUUUUUUUUUUUGCUCCAAUUGUUUCUUUUUGCUGUUAUUAUUAAAAUACCGCCACAGUUUGCUAUGGUUUCACUGUGGCUCUGUUGAAAUGGUUUUAAUAUCGGUUUUCCCCUUUCUUCUCAACACUUAGAAAGAAAACAAGAAAGUCGCCACCGACGAAAGCACAUCGUCGUCUCUGAUUCCAAGCCUUGCCGUCUCCGAUUCUAAGCCUCGACGUCUCGCGUCUCCUACUCUCAUCUCUCAAGAGUCCCUGGGACAACUGCUGCGCCUCCUCCUAUGCCUCCUGGUGCUACUGUACUGUCUUUGAACCAUGCUGAUUCCUCAUCUCGUUCCAAUAGUUACCCGCAAAUGACCCUCAAUGCCAUGCUCAAUUCACAUGCUAGGCUAUCACAGCCCCAUCUCCAUCCAAAUAAACUAAAUGGAGCUUUAUGGUUUGGUAUUGACCCAUCUAUCAACGCUUUCAUCCGGGCAACUUGCCAAGGAUACUACAUGGCGCCUUGGAAGAGUUGGAGGAAGGUUCCUGAUGAAAGGAGGGAGUCAUGGUGGCAAACAUUUGUGGUAAGUGACUAGUAUAUGAUAUACCAUGGAUUUUACCCACUUUUAUCCAUGGUAUAUAGGUGUUUUUAAAUACAUUAUAGUUUUUUUGAAGUCUUUUUAAUAUAUUUUCAGGUUUAGGUACGUUUUGGAGGAAAGUAGUGAUUUUGGGGUCUUUUGGAGCCUUUUGAAUGCAAAACUGCACAGACGUGUCAGAUGUUUAGAUAUGGAUGGAGACCUUCCCAUGGUGCGAUAGGGCUUAUAUUUUGACACAUGAUAGAGCUUUGCGUUAUAUUUCCAAUGCCACUGGUUUGAGGUCAAUCCAACAGCUAGAUCGAGAAGUUAUGCAUGUUUUACUGAAGAGUGGUCAGUCUGUCUCGCGAGAGAGAGAUGUCGAGGAGAUGAAGAAGUUCGAUCGACGGUUCACCCUUGGUGUUGAUCGAUGGUGAUUCAAGAACACGGGCCUAGUAUAUUUCAAGACUGACUUAAGCCUAAAAGCAACCACAAAUUACCAGAAUAUCCAUUGACGAUCUAAAACCCUAAUUUAUGUUUUUAAGCCAUUGUUGACGGCUACACUUUCUUUAAGCUUUAUUCUAUUGUUUCUCUUAGGUUAGGAGAGAAGGGAGGGACUCUCAAGGAGUUCUUCCUGGAACUCUUUUGGUUUUAUCAUUGCUUUCUAUUUUAUAUCUAUUUAUCUAUGAUUUCUGUGACAAACUUCAUGCUUGAAUAGAUCCACCUGCUAGAUUUAGGGUUCAGAUAAUCAUGAGGGAUUAGCCCAAAAUAUAGAACUGCUGAGUUGUCUGGAAAUCCAUGAAUUGAAUUGAUCUUAUUGCUUGUGUUCUAUAGUAUCUAACUAGAACCCUGAUCUUAGAUAAUUAGGUGCAAGCGGAAGCUUGGUCUUUUACCUGAACUAAUUCAUAUUGUGCUAGGAUUGCUAGAAUCAAGCGACAGCUGAUUUAGUUAAACCUGGUGAACACGUUCAAACCCGCUCGCUAAAGGUUGCUAGAAGGGACGUUGAUCGACAACUCCAUAGUUGCAUCGAUUGACGGACUGAAGGUGUAUCGAUCGACUAUCCAUUGAUAACGUCGAUCGACACUUUCUCAAGACCAACAAGCGAUAGUUGAGGUCUUAGAUAUAGACAAUAGAUAAUCUAAAGAAACGGAAGUUGAUAGAUUAGUUUGAGUUCUAGAAUAUCCAACCUUAGUUUCUAUACUAUUAUAAUCCUGAUUGCCUGAAUAGAAACCCUAAGUCUAGCAACCAUCAUUUCAUCAACUCAUCAAUCAAUCUCUUUAUAACAACUACCUUGUUCGCUCUGUUCUGCUAUUUACUUAUUUAUAAUCUAUUAGCCUAGCUUAAUCAAUAACUAUUUAGAUCUAGUGUGUGCCCUCACUCCCUGUGAAUUCGAUCCCUAAGUGCUACAACUCGGCCUCUUAAUUGAGAGAGUACCAAUCACUCCUUAGGGUAAUUUGAGUGAUAUCAGUAUACAUUGUAUAUGCCGCUUACAUGUUUUUAAAUCACUUACUCUUUUGUUUUCUUUUGUAGCAAAAUUUCUAUUGGGACUCUGAGUUUAAUGACUUGGUCUACGCUCUAUGGAAGAAAUAAAUAUGGACAACCAUUGGUAAAAGGAUUAGCAAGAAGAAGAGUGAACAAAAGAAGCUAAAGUAUAUCAAUGAUGCUGACGGAUACUCCUGUUGGAGCAUUGAGCGACCGAAGCAGCUAAAAAGAAUAGCAAGAAGGCUGCAAAAUCCCGCAAGUCUGAUCCUGUGGGUAAAGGUUGCCACAAGCAUAAUGCAUAACCUAGGUCUUUUGCAAGGAUAGAGUAUAACAUGGUAUCUUUUCAUGUCUAGACUUUUAAAUAUUGUUCUUUUUCUAAUAUGUUGUAAAAUAUGUUAUUCUUUUGCAGAUGAUUGAGUCUGGUACUAAUGAACGGCCAUCUUACACUGACCUAGUCAGAAAGACACACACCCGAAAAGAUGGAACUUUUGUGGACUAUCGUGCUGAAGAACUGGUUACUCAAGAAGAUAUGGAAGCCACACAGCUCUCUAACACUGAAAGAUCACCCGUGAGUCGAAGUGCAUCAUCUGCUCCUUCUCGCCUUAUGUUAAACAAAGCUUAUCUGAAGGUAUGUUUACUUAAGAUUUCAAUUCUAUUAAUUAUUUUAUGUUCUGUUUUGUAUGUGGAAUUAGAUAUGACUUAGUCUGCUUAAGAAUGUGGUUAAAAAUGUCUUAUGCUAUGUUCAGUUUAUUUACAAAGUUGACUGUAACCUGAAUUGAUUAAAAUUGUUUUAUGUUAUGUUCAAGUUGGUGUUGGUUUUCACUGUUUUCCCUUUCCUCUCAGAGAAUGCUAAGGGUAAGAGGGGACAUGUUUAUGGACUGGGCAGUGCCCAAUACAGGGAGCAUGUACCUUCUUCACGCGUCCCUAAUGGUCUUGCCCGCAACCUGGAGCUGAAGAUGCUUGUAGGCGGUCCUGAGAAAAGCCUCAAAAGUGUCAAUCAGCUCCUCCAAACACUUCUGCUCCAACAAGCACCUACUGGACAGACUUCUGCUCAGCCUCAAGCCCCAACUACUCAGCCUAACCCUGUCAAUGGCAAAUAGAAGUAGGUUGUUCAUCUUGUCUUCUCUUUUGUAACAAGGUUUAUAAAACUCUAGGUCUUUUGGUAGAGUCUUCUUAGACUCUUUAACUAUGUCUUUUUGUAUAGUCUUCUUAGACUCUUUAAAACUCUUCUAACUUAUAUAAUUAUCUAUGUUUUAGUAAUGUUGAACCUACUCUUAUAUAUAUAUGAAAUUGUGUUUUCAUUGAAUCUGCAAUGUUUAAAUAUUUGAAUGGAAAUAUAAUUUGAUAAAAUUGGCAGAUUAAAACUAAUCAAAAGAAAAUCUUUUACAAAAAAGCGGCUACAAAAUAGCACAACAAAAACAAAGACAAUGACUACAGCGUGGCUAAAGAAUACCACGUGAUCCGAAAACAAAACUGUGGCUACAAUAACCACUUUAAAUAUGUGGUAAAACUUUAAUAUAGUUAUUUUGUAAAUAAGUAUAUAUCUCUAUAAAUAAAAUAUUAUAACUGUAACGUCACUACCUUAUAUAUUUUACAGUAAGAAUUGUAAACUUACAUUCUCGUAUUAUAAACUCUCUCACUACCUAAAGAAGAAAAGUUUUCCUCUUUCUCUUGUUUUGGUUUGAUUUAUGUCGUGGAAACAGAAAAUAGGUUUGAUAAAAUUAGUUAUGAAACUUUUUUUUUUUACGUCGAAAGACCAUUCUAUUUCUAUUAGUUAUGAAACUUAUGAUCCUCGAAAUACCAGGUUCGUAUCAGAUAUUUAAUGCGCUAAAAUAAGUCAAUGGUAAGACCAAAAGAAAGUUGUUCCUCCGACAAAGAUUAAAUUCGCACGUCGAGUCUUGGCUGGUUUUCGAUCACAGGCGCAAAUGGGUGUAGCAAGUCUCUCAACAUCAUCUGUUUUUUAUUCUAAGAAUUAUGAAAAACAUCAAAACGAAUUUUUGGAGUAGGAUUCAGAUUUUAUAUAAACCCGUCUCACUCUUUUAUUGGACCUUGUGCAAAUUUAUAAAAAUAACACAUGUAUUCUGUAAAAAUGAGUUUUAAUAUUUUCGUAGCAAACCCUAAAUUCUAAUUAAAAUUUGAAAGAAAAUAUUUGGGCCCUGUGCAGAUGUGCCUUGAGCACAUUCCUAGAGAUGGGCCCACCUAACGCAUAGCGUCUAAAACGAUUAAGCGGACGUCUAAAUUAUUAGUUAAUCAGCUUAGGUGUUUAUAAAUUAUAUCAAUAUAUUAAAUAUAUGUAAUAUUUAUACUAAAAAAUAGUAAAUAUCAUUAUAUGUAUAUAUUAAAAUGUAUAUUAUUUUAUUUUUAUAAGAAUGUAUAUUAUAAUUUAUUAAUUAUUAUAAUUUAUGAACGAUAAAUUAUAUAUUAUUUAUUGUUUCAAUAUUGUAAUUGUCGAAGGAGUUUAAAAG